Molecule: ribosomal RNA, 254 nt
Filed under: uncultured bacterium
Lineage: Bacteria
Description: partial 16S ribosomal RNA
Rfam family: Bacterial small subunit ribosomal RNA
Source: RNAcentral
UACGUAGGGUGCGAGCGUUGUCCGGAAUUAUUGGGCGUAAAGGGCUCGUAGGCGGUUUGUCGCGUCGGGGAGUGAAAACCAGGUGCUUAACACCUGGCUUGCUUUCGAUACGGGCAGACUAGAGGUAUGCAGGGGAGAACGGAAUUCCUGGUGUAGCGGUGAAAUGCGUAGAUAUCAGGAGGAAUACCGAUGGCGAAGGCAGGUCUCUGGGCUGACACUGACGCUCAUGCACGAAAGCGUGGGGAGCAAACAGG